GAUGAACGCUGGCGGCGUGCCUAAUACAUGCGAGUCGAGCGAACGGACGAGAAGCUUGCUUCUCUGAUGUUAGCGGCGGACGGGUGAGUAACACGUGGAUAACCUACCUAUAAGACUGGGAUAACUUCGGGAAACCGGAGCUAAUACCGGAUAAUAUUUUGAACCGCAUGGUUCAAAAGUGAAAGACGGUCUUGCUGUCACUUAUAGAUGGAUCCGCGCUGCAUUAGCUAGUUGGUAAGGUAACGGCUUACCAAGGCAACGAUGCAUAGCCGACCUGAGAGGGUGAUCGGCCACACUGGAACUGAGACACGGUCCAGACUCCUACGGGAGGCAGCAGUAGGGAAUCUUCCGCAAGGGGCGAAAGCCUGACGGAGCAGCGCCGCGUGAGUGAUGAAGGUCUUCGGAUCGUAAAACUCUGUUAUUGGGGAAGAACAUAUGUGUAAGUAACUGUGCACAUCUUGACGGUACCUAAUCAGAAAGCCACGGCUAACUACGUG
RNAcentral lists this ribosomal RNA (497 nucleotides) under uncultured bacterium. RNAcentral's name for it is "partial 16S ribosomal RNA". It matches the Rfam family "Bacterial small subunit ribosomal RNA", at positions 28 to 507 of the family's 1533-position model. The record is from RNAcentral.